Long non-coding RNA from Notolabrus celidotus (New Zealand spotty), 939 nucleotides. RefSeq lists it as uncharacterized. NCBI's taxonomy places the organism in Eukaryota, Metazoa, Chordata, Actinopteri, Labriformes, Labridae. The record is from RefSeq and is a predicted model, not a curated record. The transcript has 3 exons.
AACGGUGGCCAUGGUAAUGUCAACUAAGAAGGCAUUUAAGAAUGAUGGCUGAGUUUAUAGUGAUUAUAUCCUGACAAAACCCUGGUAUUUAAAGCGAUUGUUGAUUCACUUCUUGCAGUCUCUUUGUGUAGUUCUGCUUGUUGUGUCUGUUAGUCACGGAGUAAACAUUAUUACAGACAUUAGCCGCUAAUGCUAACGUAGGUUACUUCUGUGUCCUUACCUCUUUAGCCCGCUAACAAAAGCACUUUGGACUCUUCCCAAACAGACCUCCGUCAGAUAACGGCAUACAAAUAUAUAUGAUUCAAACUUUUCAACCCCAAAUUUGAAGGACUGUCUUUCAAAUUUCCCUCUUCCUCCUUCUGCUACUUCUUCUUCUUCAGUUGUAUUGCAGGUGUGACGGUGUGAACAAGCUGAUCUGAGAUGUCCACUUCUGACAAAAAACAUCCGGUCCAAGCCAGUAGUGUGGUUGUGACAGCAGUUUGAUGACAGCAGGGAUGCCAUAGUGAAGCCGCACAGCAUUCUGAGCCAGCUCUGCAUCCUGAUGGCGGGAGGUCAGGUGACGCAGUGCGCAGACAGCCGGCUCGGCGACGUCCUCCUUCUCCCCGGCACGAAGCACAGCAUGAAUCAACGCCUCCACGCCGCCAAACUGUGUCACCAGAGUCUGACGAGGAGAGAGUUUAAUUAAAGAAAAGUUUAAAAACAGACAAAUGACGAGGCUGUUUCAACACAGCAUUUAAUCUUUGUCAGUUCCAUUUAUACCUAAUGUACCUAUAGAGGAACAUUUUGACAUGAAGUAUUGUUCUCUGAUGAAAUAGGUUUGGGUCAAAUAAUCCCUGGACAUGUAGAAGGUGAAAAAAAUAGAGAAAUGUAGAAUUCUAAUGUCCUUUGAUGAAGAGUAUUGAAUUUUAUUGUUUUAUAAUGUUGUGUAAAAGUGUUAUA